AGUGUCUGAAAAAAGCAGUACUACUCGUCGGCCAGUAAAUCCUAACACAUCUGAUGAUGAUGACGCUGCGGAAGCAGGUCCAUCAAAAGAAGUAUGGAGCAGCAGAAGUGGCUCUUCUGUUAGACAUCACCACAAGAAACCUGUGGCCGAAAAGAAAGCAAGGUCGUCUGUCCCGCCACAAACACAGCAGGCUACCCCGCCACGAAGAUUAUCGUCCGUAUGUUCUGUCCCCCCACUCCAAAUUUUGGACACACCUCCAAGACGUCAUCCACACUCCCCUCAUCUUGAUUCUUCGAGUCCUGGGAACAGCAUCCCUCCGCAACAACACCAACACAGUGACAUGGAGGAGAC
This is a long non-coding RNA of Pseudophryne corroboree (corroboree frog), 351 nucleotides long. RefSeq lists it as uncharacterized. The record is from RefSeq and is a predicted model, not a curated record. NCBI's taxonomy places the organism in Eukaryota, Metazoa, Chordata, Amphibia, Anura, Myobatrachidae. The transcript has 3 exons.